Molecule: transfer RNA, 87 nt
Filed under: Pectobacterium phage Wc4
Lineage: Duplodnaviria; Heunggongvirae; Uroviricota; Caudoviricetes; Andersonviridae
Also listed under: 1 other name
Description: tRNA-Leu
Source: RNAcentral
GCGGGAUUGGUGGUAUUGGCAGUACACAUGGGUGUUAAAGUCCCAUAGGGUUCUCCCUUGCGAGUUCGAGUCUCGCAUCCCGUACCA